This 303-nucleotide ribosomal RNA is filed under the name uncultured bacterium. RNAcentral's name for it is "partial 16S ribosomal RNA". It matches the Rfam family "Bacterial small subunit ribosomal RNA", at positions 507 to 809 of the family's 1533-position model. The record is from RNAcentral.
AGCAGCAGCCGCGGUAACACGGAGGGGGCUAGCGUUGUUCGGAAUUACUGGGCGUAAAGCGCACGUAGGCGGCCUUACAAGUCAGAGGUGAAAGCCUGGUGCUCAACACCAGAAUUGCCUUUGAGACUGUAUCGCUUGAACGUCGGAGAGGUGAGUGGAAUUCCGAGUGUAGAGGUGGAAUUCGUAGAUAUUCGGAAGAACACCAGUGGCGAAGGCGGCUCACUGGACGACUGUUGACGCUGAGGUGCGAAAGCGUGGGGAGCAAACAGGAUUAGAUACCCCGGUAGUUCCUGUCUCUUAUAU